This is a long non-coding RNA of Nerophis ophidion (straightnose pipefish), 1918 nucleotides long. RefSeq lists it as uncharacterized. The transcript is spliced from 3 exons. NCBI's taxonomy places the organism in Eukaryota, Metazoa, Chordata, Actinopteri, Syngnathiformes, Syngnathidae. The record is from RefSeq and is a predicted model, not a curated record.
UCAGAUCAGUGUGGUACAGAUGUGACGUUCACGAACCAUGGUUCUUGUAAAUGAUAACAAUCGACUUGCGAGUGUGAGCCGUUAGUAGGGGAGCAGGUUUUAUGCACAUGCCGAAACAAUGUAACCGGACUGCAAACUGGACUAAAGGGUUCUGAUGUAGUUCAAUCAGAGGUACAGGCUGUGUUCACACAGGAACACGUGGCCCUUGGCAAAGGCCUAGUACCUGACUGCCCCCUAGCCAGGGAUACGGUAAAGACCUCAACGGCGGAGCAGGCGGAAGAUGGUAGAUUUAAGAACUACCACAACGGCUGCGAUGGCGGAGGAAGGCUGCAGCAGAAAAGGGUCCCCAGUCGUCUUGGACUGCAUUCCACUGGACCCUGACCCGAUUCUGUCAAGGAUUGUGUGGCGACUGUCUGUGCACCAGUCUCCCCCACGUAAAACAAAGUCACGCACAGGCAUCCUCCAUAAAGGGAUACACCCCUACCAGGUGGAUUGUCGUUCGAGUGAUUGCCGCUGAUGAUGACUUGUUAACAUAAUUAAAUUUACUUUCCCUUAAUAUCUAAAAUUAUUCAUAUUCUCCUAAUGUCAUAUUAUGCUUAUUUCAGUGCUGUUGUUUUUAGUUUUAGUUUGUAUCCAAUCAGAAUUCAGCUAGCUUAUGUUGCCAUGCUGUACCGAAUCUGCCACCGGCCUUCAAAAUCAACAAUGCUGUAAGUGAACGGGCACAUACAGUUGAUAGACAGUUGCGAAAGGCAAUCAGAUCACGAGUUGUUGUCAGUAUAGCCUUCUAGCUGGCGUGACGUCAAGUUAAACGUGAGAUUUACGCAUCCUGUGAUUGGAUACGUCAUCGAGACCGUUAGCAGAUGAAUUUGAGAAUACAGAGAGUUGAUAGACAGUUGCGAUAGCCAAUCAGAUCCCAAGUUGAUGACAGUAGCUGUUCUGUGGCAACUAAAAGCUGGGAUCAAUAAAGUACUUUCUAUUCUAUUCUAAACACUUGUUGUUAAAGUAUGUUAUGCCUGUAAUUUAUUUAACUUUAUUACAUGUGUAUUUGUCGCCAUCAUGUGGUCAGAUCAGUUAAUAUAUCUUUGAGAAGUGUGUACUGUGAAUCGAACUUUAUUGACCGGAAGUUGCAUAAGCUAAGCAGAGAAAUUCACGGUAUAUAUUAUAAUUGCUGAUGCGUUUUAAUUGAUCAGAAAAUAAACCGUUUUGUACACUGUUGAUGUAAUUCAAUGCAAAAUAGGGUGUAAAUAUGUUCCUGAAUAGUAUUUCUCCAGCAACGAUCGUGUGGUGACAUCAAUUGUGGUAUUUUGAGAGGUAAUUAUUGAAGUCUGAGAUCACUGAAGGCCUAGGUGGGAAACACACGGCCCGCCACUGAAUGGAUAAUUUUUUUGUGAAAGUUCGACUCGGACCUAGUUUGUUUCCGUGACGACCUUCUUAAAGUUUUGUAAUCAAUCAGAAACAUCAAGCAGCUAAAAAUGCGCUAAACAUGGAUAGGUGUGGAGAGGGUGUUUUACAUUUUUUUCCCAUCAUGUAGAAUAAUGGAUUUUAAUGGGUGCAGUUUUGUUUUUGUUAUGAUUUUUAAUAAUAUCCACAAUGUUCAGUGAGCAGAUUGUGUUAUAUGUGACCGUGUGUGUUGAUUUUAUGUUGCUUUUUUUAAUGCACCAUGACUAGGGAAGGUUGGUUGGAUUGUGCCAUAUAAGUAAAUGCUAUGCUUAUAUAUAUCUAAAUACGUUCAAGGGUCAAUGAUUUUGAUAACUCACAUUGUCCACAAGAUGGCAGCAAAUAUGUAGCAUUCAAAGACCAUCUGAUAUUUAAAAUUGUUUUGAAAGCAUUCCAUGGUGCGAUACUUUGUUUAACUCACGGCGUUUCGUGGGCCAAAUUGAUGACAUCGUACUUUGGAGACCCUCUCUUAAAUUAAAGA